Molecule: ribosomal RNA, 482 nt
Filed under: uncultured bacterium
Lineage: Bacteria
Description: partial 16S ribosomal RNA
Rfam family: Bacterial small subunit ribosomal RNA
Source: RNAcentral
AUUGAACGCUGGCGGCAUGCUUUACACAUGCAAGUCGAACGGUAACAGGCCGCAAGGUGCUGACGAGUGGCGAACGGGUGCGUAAUGCAUCGGAACGUGCCCAGUCGUGGGGGAUAACUACUCGAAAGAGUAGCUAAUACCGCAUACGAUCUAUGGUUGAAAGCGGGGGACCGUAAGACCUCGCGCGAUUGGAGCGGCCGAUGUUAGAUUAGGUAGUUGGUGGGGUAAAGGCUCACCAAGCCAACGAUCUGUAGCUGGUCUGAGAGGACGACCCGCCACACUGGGACUGAGACACGGCCCAGACUCCUACGGGAGGCAGCAGUGGGGAAUUUUGGACAAUGGGCGCAAGCCUGAUCCAGCAAUGCCGCGUGCAGGAAGAAGGCCUUCGGGUUGUAAACUGCUUUUGUACGGAACGAAACGGCUCUGGUUAAUACCCGGGGCUAAUGACGGUACCGUAAGAAUAAGCACCGGCUAACUACGUG